Non-coding RNA from Phrynosoma platyrhinos (Desert horned lizard), 71 nucleotides. The record is from the annotation of a GenBank genome assembly. NCBI's taxonomy places the organism in Eukaryota, Metazoa, Chordata, Lepidosauria, Squamata, Phrynosomatidae.
GCCAAUUUGGCAUAGUGGUUUGAGCAGUAGACUACAAUUCUGGAGACCAGGGUUCAAAUCCUUGCUUGGCC